CAAGGCGACGAUCAGUAGCCGACCUGAGAGGGUGAUCGGCCACAUUGGGACUGAGACACGGCCCAAACUCCUGCGGGAGGCAGCAGUGGGGAAUAUUGCACAAUGGAGGGAACUCUGAUGCAGCAACGCCGCGUGAAGGAAGAAGGUUUUCGGAUCGUAAACUUCUAUCAACAGGGACGAAAAAAAUGACGGUACCUGAAUAAGAAGCCCCGGCUAACUACGUGCCAGCAGCCGCGGUAAUACGUAGGGGGCAAGCGUUAUCCGGAAUUACUGGGUGUAAAGGGAGAGUAGGCGGCAUGACAAGCAAGAUGUGAAAGCCCGGGGCUUAACCGCGGGACUGCAUAAUGAACUGUCAGGCUAGAGUACAGGAGAGGUAAGCGGAAUUCCUAGUGUAGCGGUGAAAUGCGUAGAUAUUAGGAAGAACACCGGUGGCGAAGGCGGCUUACUGGACUGAAACUGACGCUGAGGCUCGAAAGCGUGGGGAGCGAACAGGAUUAGAUACCCUGGUAGUCCACGCCGUAAACGAUGAGUGCUAGGUGUUGGGGGGGAACCCUCGGUGCCGGAGCAAACGCAAUAAGCACUCCACCUGGGGAGUACGGCCGCAAGGUUGAAACUCAAAAGGAAUUUGACGGGGGCCCGCACAAGCGGUGGAGCAUGUGGUUUAAUUCGAAGCAACGCGAAGAACCUUACCAAGGCUUGACAUCCCGCUGACCGGUGUAGAGAUACACCUUCUCUUCGNAGCAGCGGAGACAGGUGGGUGCAUGAUGUCGUCAGCUCGUGUCGUGAGAUGUGGGGUAGUUCCCGCAACGAGCGCACCCUUAUUCUAGUAGCCAGCAG
Molecule: ribosomal RNA, 837 nt
Filed under: uncultured bacterium
Lineage: Bacteria
Description: bacterial SSU rRNA
Rfam family: Bacterial small subunit ribosomal RNA
Source: RNAcentral